Molecule: ribosomal RNA, 461 nt
Filed under: uncultured bacterium
Lineage: Bacteria
Description: partial 16S ribosomal RNA
Rfam family: Bacterial small subunit ribosomal RNA
Source: RNAcentral
CCUACGGGAGGCAGCAGUGAGGAAUAUUGGACAAUGGACGCAAGUCUGAACCAGCCAUGCCGCGUGCAGGAAGACGGCUCUAUGAGUUGUAAACUGCUUUUGUACGAGGGUAAACGCAGAUACGCGUAUCUGACUGACAGUAUCGUACGAAUAAGGAUCGGCUAACUCCGUGCAAGCAGCAGCGGUAAUACGGAGGAUCGAAGUGUUAUCCGGAUUUAUUGGGUUUAAAGGGUGAGUAGGCUGUGAGGUAAGUCAGCGGCGAAAUGCCCCCGCUCAACGGGGUGAAGUGCCAUUGAUACUGCCUGGCUGGAAUGCGGAUGCGGUGAGAGGAAUGUGUGGUGUAGCGGUGAAAUGCAUAGAUAUCACACAGAACACCGAUUGCGAAGGCAUCUCACGGGUCCGCGAUUGACGCUGAUGCACGAAAGCGUGGGUAUCAAACAGGAUUAGAUACCCUUGUAGUC